GCCUCGAAAGUGUUGACAUUUCACUAUCGACGGGCCGUUCACUAUUCGCCUGCCUCCCCUGCUGGAUCAACUUGCGCAGGAAUUCACUCACGGCCGUUUAGACAUAACUUUUUUAGUUGAAGUUUCUAGGGCAUAAUGGCCACUCACGUAGAUUUGAGCACCGGAGCCAAGAUGCCAAUCAUUGGUCUGGGAACAUGGAAGUCUGUUCCUACCAAAGUCAAAGAUGCCGUGAAAGUUUCCAUUGACCUAGGAUACCGCCACAUCGAUGGUGCAUAUAUCUAUAAAAAUGAAAACGAGAUUGGGGACGCCAUUGCAGAGAAGAUCAAAGAAGGAGUUGUAAAGAGGGAAGACCUCUUUGUUGUCAGCAAGCUCUGGUGCACUUUUCAUGAGAAGUCGGCAGUUAAACAGGCCUGUCAGAAGACUCUGUCUGAUUUAAAGCUGGACUAUUUAGACCUCUACCUUAUUCACACACCUUUGGGAUUCAAAACAGGUUGUGGAGACUUCCCACUAGAUGAAAGAGGCUUAAUUCUGCCAGACAAUACAAAUUUCCUGGAUACCUGGGAGGGUAUGGAAGAGCUGGUAGAUGCUGGUUUAGUGAAGGCCAUUGGUGUUUCCAACUUCAAUCACAAACAGAUUGAGUCAAUACUAAACAAGCCUGGCCUAAAAUAUAAGCCUGCUAACAAUCAGAUUGAAUGUCAUCCCUAUCUUACUCAAGAGAAGCUCAUUAAAUACUGCCAUUCAAAGGGAAUCUCAGUUACUGCCUAUAGCCCCCUGGGAUCACCUGAUAGACCCUGGGCAAAACCUGAGGAGCCAUCAUUAUUGGAUGAUCCUGCAAUCAAAGCAAUUGCUGACAAACACCACAAAACUUCAGCUCAGGUUUUGAUUCGCUUUCAUAUUCAGAGGAACACCAUUGUUAUUCCAAAGUCAGUGACUCCAAGUCGCAUUGCAGAAAACUUUCAGGUUUUUGACUUUGAACUUAGCAAGGAAGAAAUGGAGACAAUCCUGAGUUUUAACCGAAAUUGGAGAGCUUGUCCAAUGCGCAUGGGUGUGGAACACAAAGAUUAUCCACAUAACGAAGAAUACUGAAAGAAGUCAACUUUUCAACCUUACUGGAUAGUUCAACCUAUUUGUGUAAUUUUUAAAAUAUUUUUUUUUUCCAUGUUUAAUUGAAGAGAGUUGCUUGUUCCAAAGUCUUGAAUACCAACGACUGAAUAACGAUCCACUUCCUACUUCCGGCCCCUACAGAUGACGUCACUUCCAGCUCUUUCCUGAUGACUUCACUUCCAGUUCCUGCCAAUAACGUUACUUUCAGCUCUCACCUGAUGACCUCAUUUCCAG
RNA transcript from Erpetoichthys calabaricus (reedfish), 1338 nucleotides. It is a transcript of the gene named aldo-keto reductase family 1 member B1-like, with no coding region annotated. Lineage: Eukaryota; Metazoa; Chordata; Cladistia; Polypteriformes; Polypteridae. The transcript is spliced from 11 exons. The record is from RefSeq and is a predicted model, not a curated record.